AACUAUGUAUGUAGCUACAGAUAUACAGACAAAACACACUGUUUGCCUUGAAAAACUACAGAUCGACGCUGAAGUGGGUAGGUCACUGCAUACGAAUUUCCGUAUGUAUGUAUUGUGUGACAAAUCUCUGCGAGACGAACAUUUUUUUGUGAAUGCACUACAAAUAAUGAAGCUUCAAGAGAUAAUAACAAGAGUAAAAGAGAGUGACUGCCCAUGCCUCUCCCCCUUGAGAAUCCACAAAGCCUAUGGAGUGCCAAAUGGAAUCGAAUUACCAACCAAGCAGCCAAAAGGGCGUCUCCUUCUCGGCUCUAAAAGCAUAUCAGAGGUCGCCGCUACAUGAUACUAACUGGCAGACAGGGCGGCGGAUAGGGAGGGAUGGAUCGAGUCAACCGGACGUGGACGACGACGAGGGCCAGGAGGUUUAGGGUGCGCUGGUGCCAGGGCGUCCGUGGGUAGAGGUCCUCCAUGAACUCCAGCAGUGGCAGCAUUGGCUGGUCUCCGGCUCUUCCUUUCUUGUCGUCCAAGAAGACGAGACGAGGAGGAGGAUCUAUUUCGGUCACCUAGCUGCACGAGGAAACCAAACAGCACUCGCAUCAGAAAGGGAAAAAUUGAACCAAGAGACUGGGUGGCGGAGAAGAGGGGCGCGGGAGAGGGUGAGGGGUAGUAUAUAUACAAAAUUGAACCAGACAACAUUCUCUAAAGCAAGCCAACCAGUUAUUUUACAAGACACUCUAAGGUACAAUGUUAGCAACAGCAGGUGCAGCCCUACAAUCAUGGAUGAGUAGUAUAUAUACAACAGAUCACAGUCACUUUGAAUUUUUGCAGCGUCUUAAAACUCCUAAUUAACCUACUGAAAAUAGAUACCAUUGUAACGACAUAACAAGGUGAUUUCCGUGCACUCAAUUUAAAUUCCCAUCAAUUCCCAAACUAAGCUUGGAAGGUGGUGGAGAUGUACAUAGAGCAUGUCUUUUAUGCCCAAAUUGUUCAUUUCCCUGCAUUCCACAUGAUUGUGGUCAUAGAAGCUACAGAGAUGUGCAUGCAUACAAGACAAGUUCAUAGUCAGUCACAUUCCCUUUGCUACAAUCUUAAUUAACUCUCUGAUUGCGCAGAAACUAAACAUGAUGUUAAUGCUCUUGCUAUAUACUUGAUCCAGCAAACACAACAGUAGUCGCUAGAGUAAGUAACAAGAGAAACACCAUGUCACAGCCAAACAGAGCAAAAAGUGCCUACUACAGACCAACCUAUGGCAUAGCCUCCUCUCCUGAAAUGCAUUUCUCCUCUCAGAAAAGAAAGAAUGCAUUUUUUGCUCUCAGAAAAGAUUGCAAACACACAUCGUCAAGGAAGGCAAGUAAGACGGAAGGGCACUCACUGUUGGGCACCUUUUACAGUUGAAGUGGGCCUCACACCGAUGGGCUCGCUGGUGAAGUUCUACCGCACGCACACCACAUGGCG
RNAcentral lists this long non-coding RNA (1452 nucleotides) under Triticum aestivum (bread wheat). RNAcentral's name for it is "long non-coding RNA (TAES_LNC001942)". Lineage: Eukaryota; Viridiplantae; Streptophyta; Magnoliopsida; Poales; Poaceae. The record is from RNAcentral.